AUAUAAAUAUAAGCAAUCUAUACGGUGAAACUGCGAAUGGCUCAUUAAAUCAGUUAUCGUUUAUUUGAUAGUACCUUACUACUUGGAUACCCGUGGUAAUUCUAGAGCUAAUACAUGCUGAAAACCUCGACUUCGGAAGGGGUGUAUUUAUUAGAUAAAA
The sequence is a non-coding RNA, 160 nucleotides long. It matches the Rfam family "Eukaryotic small subunit ribosomal RNA", at positions 57 to 219 of the family's 1831-position model.